AAGACCUUGCACUUUUGGAGCGGCCGAUGUCUGAUUAGCUAGUUGGUGGGGUAAUGGCUUACCAAAGCUUCGAUCAGUAGCUGGUCUGAGAGGACGGCCAGCCACACUGGGACUGAGACACGGCCCAGACUCCUACGGGAGGCAGCAGUGGGGAAUUUUGGACAAUGGGCGCAAGCCUGAUCCAGCCAUGCCGCGUGAGUGAAGAAGGCCUUCGGGUUGUAAAGCUCUUUCAGCCGGGAAGAAAAGGUUGCGACUAAUAAUCGCAAUUCAUGACGGUACCGAAAGAAGAAGCACCGGCUAACUACGUGCCAGCAGCCGCGGUAAUACGUAGGGUGCGAGCGUUAAUCGGAAUUACUGGGCGUAAAGGGUGCGCAGGCGGUUUUGUAAGUCAGAUGUGAAAUCCCCGGGCUUAACCUGGGAACU
RNAcentral lists this ribosomal RNA (423 nucleotides) under uncultured bacterium. Its description in RNAcentral is "bacterial SSU rRNA". It matches the Rfam family "Bacterial small subunit ribosomal RNA", at positions 207 to 622 of the family's 1533-position model. The record is from RNAcentral.